This 211-nucleotide unclassified non-coding RNA is filed under the name Hevea brasiliensis (rubber tree). The record is from RNAcentral. Lineage: Eukaryota; Viridiplantae; Streptophyta; Magnoliopsida; Malpighiales; Euphorbiaceae.
AGAAUACUUUGACCUAUCAAUUUUAUAGAAUUGAAAACUAAGAUAAUUCAAAGGUAGAAUUAAAGAUUCUUGCCACAAAGUUUAUAAUCAAACAAGAACCAAGAAUAUCAAGAUUGUUAAACCCUACAAAAUUAAUCACUCUUGAAGAAUUAGUUUAGUUUAAAAAAAAAAAACUUAGGAAAAAUCACUCUCUUGUAUUAAUUUAAUCAAA